UACGGAGGGGGCAAGCGUUGUUCGGAAUCAUUGGGCGUAAAGGGCGCGUAGGCGGCCUGUCAAGUCAAGUGUGAAAUCCCUCGGCUCAACCGAGGAACCGCACUCGAUACUGUCGGGCUAGAGUCCGGGAGGGGAUGGUGGAAUUCCCAGUGUAGCGGUGAAAUGCGUAGAUAUUGGGAAGAACACCGGUGGCGAAGGCGGCCAUCUGGACCGGAACUGACGCUGAGGCGCGAAAGCUAGGGGAGCAAACGGG
Molecule: ribosomal RNA, 253 nt
Filed under: uncultured bacterium
Lineage: Bacteria
Description: partial 16S ribosomal RNA
Rfam family: Bacterial small subunit ribosomal RNA
Source: RNAcentral